CCUUGUAAUUGUUUUUCUGUGUAUGUCAGAUGUGACAGUGGGAACCACAGUCACUCAACUACAAAAUUUAAAUACAAUAAAAACAACUGGAUCCUGAGGUGGAUCCUGAGGGUCCAAGUGGUAGCACUCAGUCAUCAAAGACAAGGUGCCUGUCUGUCUUCUGCUACACUUCAUCCUGCCAAUACUGUUUACAGAGAGAAACCUCCAGGCCAAUGCCAAGCUGCCUUUAGUCCUACCCAACUCCCCGAGCCUCCUGUCCUCACUGGUGCCAAAGAACUAGAGAAAACUGAGGUUGCGGAGGGCUGCUCUUCCAAAAUAACCACAACUGUCAGCACGCCAGGAAUCAACAUUAUCUUCUUCUUCUGUGGAAGUAUCUUUAUUUGUUUCAAAGGCAAUUUUAUUCAUUUCUAUCUAAUGCUAUAUAAGGUAAGUGGGAGAAACUCAUUAACUCGAAGCAUAUCAUUUUCAUCUACUGCAAAUAAGCUGAUCAUACAGUGCUCUUUGCACACAGCUUUGAAGUUUGGCUCUGACUUUAGGAUGUUUAGCAGUGUUUUCCCACAGUCACCCAGAGAGAACUUACAGAAGGGGUCAUAG
RNAcentral lists this long non-coding RNA (594 nucleotides) under Callithrix jacchus (white-tufted-ear marmoset). Its description in RNAcentral is "lncRNA (ENSCJAG00000075912.1)". Lineage: Eukaryota; Metazoa; Chordata; Mammalia; Primates; Cebidae. The record is from RNAcentral.